Long non-coding RNA from Juglans regia (Persian walnut), 303 nucleotides. RefSeq lists it as uncharacterized. The record is from RefSeq and is a predicted model, not a curated record. The transcript is spliced from 4 exons. NCBI's taxonomy places the organism in Eukaryota, Viridiplantae, Streptophyta, Magnoliopsida, Fagales, Juglandaceae.
GGAUGAGUUUGCUAGCUUGCUUGCUAUUGUUCCAAAAGGUCCCAUUGCCAUCUUUGGUUUGGGUGGUGGAACUACUGCUCGGCUAAUGCUUGACUUGUGGCCUUCAUUGCAACUUGAUGGCUGGGAGAUUGAUGGAAUUUUGAUCGAUAAAGCAAGAGAAUAUCUUGGGCUGUCAUAUCUUGAGAAACAUACUGUAGCUGGUGGCAUCCUUAAUGUUCAUAUCGGUGAUGCCCUUUCACAAUCAGUUAAUGUGUCUGAAGGAUAUGCUGGCAUUGUAAUUGACUUGUUUUCUGAAGGAAAAGU